RNAcentral lists this RNase P RNA (443 nucleotides) under uncultured Faecousia sp. RNAcentral's name for it is "Bacterial RNase P class A". It matches the Rfam family "Bacterial RNase P class A". Rfam says of the family: Ribonuclease P (RNase P) is a ubiquitous endoribonuclease, found in archaea, bacteria and eukarya as well as chloroplasts and mitochondria. Its best characterised activity is the generation of mature 5'-ends of tRNAs by cleaving the 5'-leader elements of precursor-tRNAs. The record is from RNAcentral. Lineage: Bacteria; Bacillati; Bacillota; Clostridia; Eubacteriales; Oscillospiraceae.
AACGGACAGCCGCGUGAAUUUGCCGAAAGGCGCUUUCAUGAGGAAAGUCCGGGCUCCGCAGGGCAAGGAUAACGGGUAACGCCCGCCGAAGGCGACUUCAGGAAAAGUGCAACAGAGAUAUACCGCCUUGUCAAAGAUUCCAACGAAACCCGGUAAAGCGUUUUCGUUGGAAAGAGGAGGCGCAGCGGAAUGACCAAGCUUUGCCGCUUGCGGCGAAGCGCGGGAUAUGGAGCUUGUGCUGACGAGGUAAGGGUGGAAAGGCGAGGUAAGAGCUCACCCGCCGCAUGGGAACAUCGCGGCGCUGUAAACUCUAUCCGGAGCAACACCGUGGAGGAGACACAUGGUCUGCCCGACCGUCUCCGAGGAGGUGGCUUGAGCGUAUCGGCAACGAUACGUCGAGAUAGAUGGCUGUCGAUCACAGAACCCGGCUUAUAGUUCCGAUC